Molecule: long non-coding RNA, 692 nt
Filed under: Rattus norvegicus (Norway rat)
Lineage: Eukaryota; Metazoa; Chordata; Mammalia; Rodentia; Muridae
Description: long non-coding RNA NONRATT007711
Source: RNAcentral
UACUACAUGCCCCUGUGCGGGACAGGCUGCCUAGGCUCUCCUCUCGGCUCUCCUCUCAAAGGGUUGAAAACACACAGCCGCGUUUUGACAAUUUUAAGAGACUUUGUAAAGAAAAUGUUCUUGUGGCCACAGGGUAAACUAAUAUCCUGGGAGAACUUCGAUGCCACGGGGGAGGACAGUUUCUCUGAGGAGGUAGGAUCUCUCUUCUGCCUACUAUCAAAAUGGCAACAAGCAAGCUUUUCUUCCAAGAGUAGCAUCCAAAAGGAUAUUUCAAACUGGGGAGCUCCCAGCAGAGGUAGAAAAGAAGAAAGUGAACGCUGGCCCCAGGGAGAGGCCUUCUCGCAGUUGAUUACUUCCAAGUCAUGGACCUUGGACACUACAGAAUUGUGGAGGACAAAAUGAGCCCUAAAUAAAUGCAGAUGAUUCCCCAUGGGAGGAAAUAAAAAUGAGAGUUCGACUGCCAUGGUUAAUGUGAAUUCAUGGCAAAAUGCAUGGUGCACUGAGCUCCAGGGAUCCCUGCGCCCACCCAGUGCAUUGGCUGUAGACUCCUUCAACCCCACUCCCUCUGCUAUGGGUGUUCAGAGAAGAUCUCUUUAUGCCCAGACCCAAGCUCAUUACCCCAUACAUUUAAUGUAUUUACGCUCAUUCAUUCAUUCGUUCAGUUCACAGAAACCUGCCGGGCACAAACAGCG